This 393-nucleotide ribosomal RNA is filed under the name Escherichia coli. RNAcentral's name for it is "bacterial SSU rRNA". It matches the Rfam family "Bacterial small subunit ribosomal RNA", at positions 161 to 549 of the family's 1533-position model. The record is from RNAcentral. Lineage: Bacteria; Pseudomonadati; Pseudomonadota; Gammaproteobacteria; Enterobacterales; Enterobacteriaceae.
AGCUAAUACCGCAUAACGUCGCAAGACCAAAGAGGGGGACCUUCGGGCCUCUUGCCAUCGGAUGUGCCCAGAUGGGAUUAGCUAGUAGGUGGGGUAACGGCUCACCUAGGCGACGAUCCCUAGCUGGUCUGAGAGGAUGACCAGCCACACUGGAACUGAGACACGGUCCAGACUCCUACGGGAGGCAGCAGUGGGGAAUAUUGCACAAUGGGCGCAAGCCUGAUGCAGCCAUGCCGCGUGUAUGAAGAAGGCCUUCGGGUUGUAAAGUACUUUCAGCGGGGAGGAAGGGAGUAAAGUUAAUACCUUUGCUCAUUGACGUUACCCGCAGAAGAAGCACCGGCUAACUCCGUGCCAGCAGCCGCGGUAAUACGGAGGGUGCAAGCGUUAAUCGGA